This 329-nucleotide RNase P RNA is filed under the name uncultured Bulleidia sp. RNAcentral describes it as "Bacterial RNase P class B". It matches the Rfam family "Bacterial RNase P class B". Rfam says of the family: Ribonuclease P (RNase P) is a ubiquitous endoribonuclease, found in archaea, bacteria and eukarya as well as chloroplasts and mitochondria. The record is from RNAcentral. Lineage: Bacteria; Bacillati; Bacillota; Erysipelotrichia; Erysipelotrichales; Erysipelotrichaceae.
AGACAGUCGCUGGUACUUAUGUAUUAGAGGAAAGUCCAUGCUCGCACUACCUGCGAUGGUAGUAGUGUUUGUGCUAAUCGAAAAAAUAAGAUUAGGCAUUGUUAUACAAUGACGGCGGAGCUAAGACCUAAAGGUUUACCCAUGGUUAAGGCCCUUAAGGUGUCACAGUGACGUAGCUGGUUUGGAAACAAAUCAGGUGGAACGAGAUAAACCCCUCAAGCGAGAAACCCAAAUUUGGUAGGGGAACUAGAAGAAGCGAAUUGAAGCAGAUUCUGGCUGGAAACAGAGAUAAAUGACUGUCACGCAUUUGCGAACAGAACAUGGCUUAU